Molecule: transfer RNA, 91 nt
Filed under: Chlamydia trachomatis
Lineage: Bacteria; Pseudomonadati; Chlamydiota; Chlamydiia; Chlamydiales; Chlamydiaceae
Description: tRNA-Ser(cga)
Rfam family: tRNA
About the family: Transfer RNA (tRNA) molecules are approximately 80 nucleotides in length. Their secondary structure includes four short double-helical elements and three loops (D, anti-codon, and T loops).
Source: RNAcentral
GGAGAAGUGGCCGAGUGGUUGAAGGCGCACGACUCGAAAUCGUGUAUAUAAUUUAAUUAUAUCGAGGGUUCGAAUCCCUCCUUCUCCGCCA